RNAcentral lists this ribosomal RNA (459 nucleotides) under uncultured bacterium. RNAcentral's name for it is "partial 16S ribosomal RNA". It matches the Rfam family "Bacterial small subunit ribosomal RNA", at positions 338 to 795 of the family's 1533-position model. The record is from RNAcentral.
CCUACGGGAGGCAGCAGUGAGGAAUAUUGGUCAAUGGUCGGGAGACUGAACCAGCCAAGCCGCGUGAGGGAUGAAGGUACAGAGUAUCGUAAACCUCUUUUGUCAGGGAACAAAGGCGGGGACGCGUCCCCGGAUGAGUGUACCUGACGAAAAAGCAUCGGCUAACCCCGUGCCAUCAGCCCCGGUAAUAGGGAGGAUGCGAGGGUUAUCAGGAUUUGUUGGGUUAAAGGGGUGCGGCGCGGGUCUGUUAAGUCAGCGGUAAACGCCCGGGGCCCACCCCGGGCCCGCCGUUGAAACUGGCAGUCUCGAGUUGGAGAGAGGUAUGCGGAAUGCGCGGUGUAGCGGUGAAAUGCAUAGAGAUCGCGCAGAACUCCGAUUGCGAAGGCAGCAUGCCGGCUCCACACUGACGCUGAGGCACGAAAGCGUGGGUAUCGAACAGGAUUAGAUACCCGGGUAGUC